Phyllostomus hastatus (greater spear-nosed bat) is the source of this 1246-nucleotide long non-coding RNA. RefSeq lists it as uncharacterized. The record is from RefSeq and is a predicted model, not a curated record. NCBI's taxonomy places the organism in Eukaryota, Metazoa, Chordata, Mammalia, Chiroptera, Phyllostomidae. The transcript is spliced from 5 exons.
GUGACGAAGUGGCAACGCCCCAAGUUUUAAUGGUGAAAAGCAAAUGCUUCAUUGAGCCUCAAAAGGCUGCCUCCUGGAAAUAAUGCCUCAGGAAAAAAAGCGGAGUGUGUGGCAGAAAUGUGAGGGGAAAAUGAUGAGGAAUGCGCCCUCUUGCCUCAAUAAUUCUAGUGUGACCAUUUGUCGUACCAGAUGAUUGCCCCACUUGACAUCUGUUGCAGAAGUCAUCUGAAGCGCAGCCUCUUCCGGAGGGAGGAAACAUUUUGUUGCGAAAUGAGUUACCACUUCUCUAUGGAAAAAAAAAAAGACUGAAGUUACGAAGAGAGAGACAGCCAUAGUGCACUCACAGUAAAACGCACGUACAGACCCCAAAUCCGGUCAAAACCCUGGAUCCACCUGCUAAUAUAUAGGACUAGGAAACCCACAGAGCAGGGGAGGAUGUUCAACUACGCAGCAGAAGUGCACCAGCAAGAUCCUGACGGUGAUUUAUCUUCAGGCAAUCAUACCAGUUCUUCUAGAAAGACACUAUCCAGUCUGCUGUGAAAUGCCCAGAGCAGGGAAACGCUUUAGGAAUGAUUCAUGGACACCGUGUCACAGACCGUCUAUGGACGUCGGGAUCCGUGAUAAAAGGAUGCGUGCAGCUUACACUGAACCCUCUAUACCCGAAACUUUGUAGCACUGGAGGAAAAGAUGCCGUGAGGAGGAGCGGAUUUAACUAGCUAGAGAGCGCCUGAGAAACAGCGUGGGACAAAAGCAGGACUCCACUGAAUUUACAGGAGCGCCUCUUGAACCACAAAGAAAAGCAUCUGAUGGGAUCUCCCUAAAACAUCUCUCAGAAAGCCUGCCAAAUGCCUUUCCCAGUGCGUGACAACACUGUGCUUCGCAUCCACGCCGCACUUUCAAGGUCGGCUUCCAUCUGCUCCCCAACCAGGGAGUUCUCUGACCUUUGCUUCUUGUUUCAAAAACUCUCCUACCUGCCCGGAGGGCCUGGGUGACAGUCUGAUGAUGCAUCAGCUCAAAUUUGUCUAAUUUACUGGAAAACAACUCAAAGUACAGGUUUUGGCCUCACAAAAGUUGUGUUCAACCAAAUAAUUUUAAAUGCAUUAGAGGGAUUAAAUAUUUAAAGGACGAUUUCCGUGUAACCAGGAUUUCUAAACUCCGGGUACAUUUUUAGAACAAGUGGAUGGCAGAAAAAAAAAAAAACCCCAAAAACCAAAAAACAAAAAAUAAACAAACAAAAAAAGAUUUA